CAGAGAAUAGUUUAAUUUAGAGAAUUGUAACUUUGGGAGUUAUUGGUACAAAUAUAGAGUUUUGUUUCUCUGA
This 73-nucleotide transfer RNA is filed under the name Luidia clathrata. RNAcentral describes it as "tRNA-Pro". Lineage: Eukaryota; Metazoa; Echinodermata; Asteroidea; Paxillosida; Luidiidae. The record is from RNAcentral.